UUUUAUGAGAGUUUGAUCCUGGCUCAGGACGAACGCUGGCGGCGUGCCUAAUACAUGCAAGUCGAACGCUUCUUUUUCCACCGGAGCUUGCUCCACCGGAAAAAGAGGAGUGGCGAACGGGUGAGUAACACGUGGGUAACCUGCCCAUCAGAAGGGGAUAACACUUGGAAACAGGUGCUAAUACCGUAUAACAAUCAAAACCGCAUGGUUUUGAUUUGAAAGGCGCUUUC
RNAcentral lists this ribosomal RNA (230 nucleotides) under Enterococcus faecium. RNAcentral's name for it is "partial 16S ribosomal RNA". It matches the Rfam family "Bacterial small subunit ribosomal RNA", at positions 1 to 215 of the family's 1533-position model. The record is from RNAcentral. Lineage: Bacteria; Bacillati; Bacillota; Bacilli; Lactobacillales; Enterococcaceae. RNAcentral also lists the same sequence under 2 other names.